UUUUAGUAGAGAUGGGGUUUUGCCAUGUUGGUCUUGAACUCCUGACCUCAGGUGAUCCAAUCACCUCGACCUCCCAGAGUGCUGGGAUUACAGGCGUGAGCCACCUCACCUGGCCUGAUGUAGUUUAGAAUAAUCUUUAGUUGUGUCCGAUAUGUAGUUUUACCUAUCAAACUAGUUUUAAUGGUUGGUACUUUUUUAUUUUUAACUUCUCUAAGUUCAUCUGUCUUCAGAUUGGAUCUUUGGAAAGGGAGGGGCAGAAUUUUGGAAGGUAGCAUUUCUCUUGGAUGAGUAGAAAAGAGGCCAGGCACGGUGGCUUACGCCUGUAACCCCUGCACUUUGGGAUGCCAAGGCGGGUGGAUCACCUGAGGUUAGGAGUUCAAGACCAGCCUGGCCAACAUGAUGAAACCCUGAGAUCGCACCACUGCACUCCAGCCUGGGCGACAAAGUGAGACUGUGUCUCAGACAAAAAAAAAAAAAGAAAAGAAAAUGAAUUUCACUAAUUAACAGUUACUGGCUUUAUUUCAGGUGAGCUGUCGUGGGGGAAUUUGUCUGGCUUUGAGAUAUAAGGGCAAAAGAUGACUGGAAAAUUGCUCUGGGUUCUUCUUAUAUAACAUCAUAUAAGACCUGUUCACAUAAAAUCUGGUGAGUUGAUUUAGUUUGUUUUCUGACAUUGUUGGCUUCUUUAAGCUUGCUUAUAAAUUAAGGCUUGCAGUUUGAGUCAUUCGGAGAUGGGGAAUGCCCAGAACUUUCGCAUCUUGUGAACUUGAGUUGAAUAAUGUGUCUCUUUCCUCAUAGUCUGUCAACUGUAGUUCAUUGUAGCCACAAAGAAGAUGAUGAUGCCAAUGAGGAUAUACUAAACCAGACAAGAGGUGGCCUACUGUAUAUGCUAGGCAUUAGAUUUUUUAGAACUAAACACAACACUGAAUUUGUGAAAAUGUGUGGAGUUUAGAAUAAUUAGAGAAAAUGAUAACCAGUCUCACUCAGACCACAUGGAAAUGAGGGGAGAAUGUGUGUGUGUUGGGAAUGUGUAUCUUCAUCUGUCCCGCUAGUGGAAAGGUUACUGUUUGAAAAAUGUAGUUCCAACACAGCCACUAGUUUGUGCUACUUUAGACAAGUAUUUAAAUCUUUACAAUGGAGAUAUUAUAACAGCAUUCCUUGCCUUGGCACAAGGAUGUUGUUAAGUUGGAAGACUAAGGAUAUGAACGAAUUUUGUGAUGUAUAAAGAAAUCUUGGCCAAGCACAGUGGCUCAUGCCUGUAUUCCCAGCACUUUGGGUGGCCAAAGCAGGAGGAUCACUUAAGGUCAGGAGGUUGAGAUCAACCUGGGCAACAUAGUGAGACCUUGUAUCUAUAGAAAAUUUAAAAAUUAGCUGAAUGUGCUGGCAUGUACCUGUAGUCCCAGCUACUCCAGUCUGGGUGACAAAGCAAGGUCCUGUCUUUAUUAAGAAAGAAAUCAUAUGUGCAUUAUAAAGAUUUUGCCACUCUUAAGAUUGAGUGCAAGGAUGUGUGGUAACACUUCCCAGUUGAUGAAGAAAUUGGACAUUAGAAAAUGAAGGUUUUGCAGCAGUAAUUGAGUUUGAAGUAUUUUCAUAACGCUGUAUUGGAAAGGUGAUAGAGGAAUUGUCUCCUAAAAUGAAGGAAAACAUGAAUACAAAAUGAUGGUAAGAAAGAAAUAAAAGUAUUUGUAAUGGUGCUUUAAAGCUUUAAAAGCUUUAGGGUACUUUUAAAGUAUCUUAAAUAUAUUACCUUACUCAACCAAGAUGUUGUGAAAAUUAAGUGUCAGUCCUGUUUUUUAAAUUUUGAAAUGGAAACUGAGUGACUAAUUAACAUGCCUGAAAUCACAAUGGUGAAUCAUGAAUCUCGAAUUUGAUUCUAGAUUUUUUUGCUCAUUCUGAUGUGUUGCUUAGUCCUGUUACAGUACAGUUGUAGCACAUGGGAAUGGAUGGGACCAUGCAUGGAAGCUGGAGGGUCUAGAGCAGAACUUCAGUGAUGGCAAGUUAAAAUUUUCAUCAUCAGUAUUUGAAGCAGAGAUUGAAAAUGAAUAGCACUUAGGACAGACUAUCAAAUAAAUGUGAACCAGAAGAUUUUUAAUGGGGGAAAUUAACUUUAAUGAAAUAUCUUAUAGAAAGAGCUAAAGACAAGACACCUGCCAAUCCCAGUCACUCUGGAGGGUAUCUAAUAUAGGAAUGAAAAUAAAAACGAGUUAACAUUCUCUAGUGUUUGUCAAGUUUAAAGAGAUUAACUUGAAAAGUAGUAGUUGGGUAGAAGGUUUAUUUGAAGAUCCUUUGGCAUCAUAGCAAAAAAAAGUUGGUGAAAGAUUGGUACUGUAGAAUGAUGGGAGAAAGAUGAUUAUAUUUCCCUUCCAACUUGUCUAGACCACUUAAAAUUUAUAUUACUUUCUCACACAAGCCAAGAUAAAGAUACACUCUUUAAGAAAUUUAGGAGACUCUUCAUAUAUCCGUUCAUAGAUAGAAUGUGGUUUUGAAAAUAAAUGGGAUAUUAUCUAAAUAUAGAUCCAUAUAAAAUUUUAUAAUUCUUUUUAAGAAAAGCAUUUGUCAGGAAGUGAAGUCAGACUUUUUAAUGCGGAGAAAUAGGUGAAUGUGGGUUAUAUGAAGUCUUUUUUUUUUUUUUUUAAUUUCAAGACAGGGCCUUACUAUGUUGCCUAGGCUGGAGUUCAGUGGCUAUUCACAGUUGUCAUCAUUGGAUACUACAGCCUCAAACUCCUGGGCUGAAGUGAUCCACCCACCUGACCUCCUGAGUAGCUGGGACUGCAGGUGCAUACCGCUGUACCCUGCUAGGAAUCUUGUAAGAACAAUUGUAUGGUUAUGAGGUGUAUGAGGAUAGAGAUAUUUUUUUGUCCUGGUGAUUAUUUCUUCUUGUAGAAUAAUCCUAGUGAUUUUUCCUUCUUGUAGAAACUUAAAGGCUUGAGAUUAAACUUAUUAGGAAAAAUAACUUUGGCUUUAUUUUGUAGUGAUUUAUUAAUGGCUUUAUUUUAUAGUGAUAUAUUAAUAAUGUAUUAAAAUAGCUAGUAUUUUCCACUUACAGAGUAUUAUUUCAAAAUUUUAAGCCACGUAGAUAGGUUAUUAUUUGGUGCUACAUCCACCAUUACUGCAGUUGAUUUCCAGCAGUUUGAAAAAAGACUUUUCAGAAAUGACUUUCACUUGUUACUCAAUGGCUUACGGUAGCGGUCCCCAACCUUUUUGGCAAGAGGAGUGGUUUCAUGGAAGACAGAUUUUCCACAGACUGGCAGGAGAUGUGUGGAGGAAUGGUUUCGGGAUGAAACUGUUCCACUUCAGGUCAUCAGGCAUUAGAUUCUCAUAAGGAGUGCACAACCUAGAUCUCUUGCAUGUGCAAUUCACAAUAGGGUCCGCGCUCCUAUGAGAGUCUAAUGCCCCCGCUGAUCUGGAGCUCAGGCAGAAAUGCUUGCUAGCUCACCAGCCACUUUGUGGCCCAGUUCCUAACAAGUCACAAACCAGUAACGGUCCACAGCCUGGGGGUUGGGAGCUCCUGGCUUUAUAGGGUCUUCAGAUGCUUACUAGCCACAGGUAUGUCACUUAAUCAGAUGUAAUAAAUGGCUGGUGUAAUUUUGACUCACUUAAAGUGAAGAGAUUGUUUUAAUUGUGAAGCAUGUGAAUAAAUAAAUGAGAUUUCUGCUGUCUCUAGUACUAUAUACGUAAAACUGGAGGCUUUGCAAAAUUACCAAGAGACAGUCCUGUUUGAUGUGUCUUUGGUUUGGCACGGGUGGAGCAGACAUGUGAGAUAUAGCAUGAAUGGGAGGCCUUCACACUUACUCACUAUGUGGAGGGUGGUAGUUGAUCAUGAUGGUCAGUUCCAUAGUCCUCCAGGCCACUGGUGACAUACUACCAUUGUUGCCAUAAUUCUCAAAAGUCGUUUUAUGUGGGGCUCCUUCCUAGCAACCUCCCCUAAACACAUAGCUCCAUCCCUCCCAUGAGCUAAGAAAUUCUUAGCACUUGCCACCGUCUGACAUAUAUUUGUUCAUUUGUGUACUGAUUACAUUCCUCCCAUUAGUAUAUAAGCUCCAUGAUGAUAAUAGAAACUUUGUCCACUAUUGUAUAUUUCUAACUCCUAAGACACUAUUGGCAUAUUAUAGUAUGCAGUUAAUACGAGAAUAAAUGGGAUUUCUGUUUUUUCUUACUGAGGUUUGCAAAGCUUCAUGAAGGUGGAAUAUAAAGAUUCUCAUUUUUCUAUGUGCAUUGGGGACAUGGAACGGAACUUGUGUUUUCUGAGUGAGGGAGACUCUGGCAGAGAGUCUAACUGCAAUCCAUUAUUCCCUGUGACUGGGCAGAAUUUAAACAUUUUAAGAGAAGAUAUGAAAAAAAUCUUCUGAAUUCCUACUUUAUUUUUAGACAUGGGUUUGGCUAUUAACGAAUAACUUUAACCUACCUACAGGGAAGGCUUUUUCCCUGUUACCCUUCUCUCUCCUGGAUCUUAUGAGUGGAGAAAUGGGCCUUUGUUUCACUUGCAAAUCCACAAAUAUUUAUACUGUCAUGUGAACACAUGUUUAAGGCACUGUGUCACACAUUGUGGAAGUUACAAAGAGACAGGAUUCCUGAGAAUUUAACGAAGUUGAGAAUGAGUAUUAUUGAUUAAAACAAAAAUGGGACAUUUAGGUUACAGUUGAGACCGUGUUUUGUUUUUUGAAUGUGAAAUGUUUUUGGACACAGGUGAAAAAUUCUAAUGUCUCUAACUCCCCCAGAAAACCUUAGAUUGAUUUUUCUGAGAAGUUCAUGAAUGAUUUGCAUAGAGAUUUUCUUUGAGGUUAAGAAAUUAGAUGAGUUUCCCAGGGUGAAAAAAACAGGAGCAGAGAUUAUUGUUAAAAAAUGGUCAUGGGUAGAGGGGUUAGAGGACAAAGUAGGCAGAAUAGAAGCGCGUUUGUGUUUUAAGGAGGCUGAGAAAGAACCAGAAUAUAGCACUCAUAAAAGGAAAAUGCAGAUGCACUGUGAAUAGCUGCUACUGGUAGUGUAUUAAUUUCUUAGCUACAUGUAAACUUUUAUUAGGGUGCUUAUAACUGAGGUGAUGUGUAAUAUGUUAUCCAAAGUUGGGUGAUCUCUUUUAAGAGUGAGAGGGUGUACUAUCCAAAUGGGACACUGGGACAACGGGUAUGAACCAGGACUGUUAUAGCAAAACCAGGAUGGUUGGUCAUUCCUAACUAAUAACGUACUUUUCUCCAGACUUAGUCCCAAUUCCUUUAACCUCCUCAGAUAAUGUUUUUUCGUUUAUAGUACUCUGAUCUGCACUUGCAGAGCCUCUCAAUUGUUGGUUUCUUUUUCCCUGCCUUGUUGGAAAGAAAGGAGAAUUUUUCUGCCCCCACCCUGGACCCUGCUUGGGUUCACAGCAUUGGUGGAGGUAAGUAGUACUCACAGUGUGUUAUUAGUUGACUUUUGUUUUGCUUAGGAAAUGAGGUUUCUGUAUUUUUCUGAUCCAGUACUAGAUUUUUGUUUGUGUUUUGAGAGUCCUGAUUAUAUUUAACUGGGCUAAUGAACUAUUAGUUAAGUUCUUAGCAUGUAAUACAAAAAAGUGUUUGUAAUUUUGGCAUUUGUUCUUAAAUUACUUGAUACUUAAUAUGUUUUCUUUCUUAUAGGUGGGGUUGUCAUUGUGAAACUUAAGAUCUUCAAAGAAGAGAAUGUAAUUUAUACCAUGGAUAUGUUAUUUUUUCAUGUUGGAGCACUGUAAUGCUUUCGUUUUGCUUUCUCAUUCAGUUUAAAUAAAAUUUUUAAUUCUUA
This is a non-coding RNA of Chlorocebus sabaeus (green monkey), 5742 nucleotides long. The record is from RefSeq and is a predicted model, not a curated record. NCBI's taxonomy places the organism in Eukaryota, Metazoa, Chordata, Mammalia, Primates, Cercopithecidae.